CCUGAUUGAUUCUGUCAGCGCUAUAUGCUCAGUUUAAAGAUUAAGCCAUGCAUGUCGAGUUCAUCUAUAGAGAAACUGCGAACGGCUCAUUAGAGCAGAUGUCAUUUAUUCGAACGUCCUAUUGAUAACUGCGGUAAUUCUGGAGCUAAUACAUGCAAUAAAACCCUGACUUUUGGAAGGGUGCAAUUAUUAGUGCAAACCAAUCAUCUUCGGAUGUUGUUUGCUGACUCUGAAUAACGCAGCAUAUCGGCGGCUUGUCCGCUGAUAUUCCGAAAAAGUGUCUGCCCUAUCAACCUGAUGGUAGUCUAUUAGUCUACCAUGGUUAUUACGGGUAACGGAGAAUAAGGGUUCGACUCCGGAGAGGGAGCCUUAGAAACGGCUACCACAUCCAAGGAAGGCAGCAGGCGCGAAACUUAUCCAAUCUUGAAUAGAUGAGAUAGUGACUAAAAAUAAGAAGACCAUUCCUAUGGAACGGUCAUUCCAAUGAGUUGAUCAUAAACCUUUUUUCGAGGAACAAGUGGAGGGCAAGUCUGGUGCCAGCAGCCGCGGUAAUUCCAGCUCCACUAGUGUAAAUCGUCAUUGCUGCGGUUAAAAAGCUCGUAGUUGGAUCUGAGUUACAUGCAGUGGUUCACCUUUGGUGUUAAUCGCUGUUGUGACUAUUUGCUGGUUUUCUAUUAAAGCUUCGGCUUUUUUAGUGGCUAGCGAGUUUACUUUGAAUAAAUUAGAGUGCUCAGAACAAGCGUUUGCUUGAAUGGUCGAUCAUGGAAUAAUAAAAGAGGACUUCGGUUCUAUUUAUUGGUUCAGGAACUGAAAUAAUGGUUAAGAGGGACAAUUCGGGGGCAUUCGUAUCCCUGCGCGAGAGGUGAAAUUCGUGGACCGCAGGGGGACGCCCUAAAGCGAAAGCAUUUGCCAAGAAUCCUUACUAUAUAUAUAAUGGUUAAGAGGGACAAUUCGGGGGCAUUCGUAUCCCUGCGCGAGAGGUGAAAUUCGUGGACCGCAGGGGGACGCCCUAAAGCGAAAGCAUUUGCCAAGAAUCCUUAUCCUUACUAUAUAUAAGCGAAACCAAGAGAUGUUUGUUUGUUUGUUUGUUUGUUUGUCCGUCCGUCCGUCCGCCCGGUGUGCGGUCCACGGCCCACGCUCAAUGAUAGGACGCACUCCGCAAAGGACGCUUUCCUGGGACCCAUACCAAGGUGAUGUGCUACUAGCAUAGGUGAACUCCUUGAGCUUCUUUAGUGGUCUCCUACAGAACAUCUUCUUCAUGGGCAGACCCAUGAAGAUCAUCUACAGACACACCGGUUCAAGUGAAAAUUUUUGUUUCAUAGCGAGCACCUGGGACCCAUACCAAGGUGAUGUGCUACUAGCAUAGGUGAACUCCUUGAGCUUCUUCAGUGGUCUCCUACAGAACAUCUCUCCAUGGGCAGACCCAUGAACAUGAAGAUCAUCUACAGACUCACCGGUUCAAGUGAAAAUUUUUGUUUCUAGCGAGCAGUGCCAAAGUGAUGUGCUCAACGAGCUGACCUUCGUGGACAGUCUCCUACAGAACAUCUCCUCCAUGGGCAGACCCAUGAAGAUCAUCUACAGACACACCGGUUCAAGUGAAAAUUUUUGUUUCUCAGCGAACAGUGCCAAAGUGAUGUGCUCAACGAGCUGAACUUCGUGGACAGUCUCC
Molecule: ribosomal RNA, 1669 nt
Filed under: Nippostrongylus brasiliensis
Lineage: Eukaryota; Metazoa; Nematoda; Chromadorea; Rhabditida; Heligmosomidae
Description: SSU rRNA
Rfam family: Eukaryotic small subunit ribosomal RNA (bases 2-954)
Source: RNAcentral